Molecule: non-coding RNA, 118 nt
Organism: Pteropus alecto (black flying fox)
Lineage: Eukaryota; Metazoa; Chordata; Mammalia; Chiroptera; Pteropodidae
Source: Rfam
GUCUAUGCCAUGCUACCCUGAACAAGCCCGAUCCCAUUUGAUCUCGGAAGCUAAGCAGGGUUAGGCCUGGUUAGUACUUGGAUGGGAGACUACCUAGGAAGACCAGGUGCUGUAGGCA